RNAcentral lists this ribosomal RNA (1410 nucleotides) under Triticum aestivum (bread wheat). Its description in RNAcentral is "partial small subunit ribosomal RNA". Lineage: Eukaryota; Viridiplantae; Streptophyta; Magnoliopsida; Poales; Poaceae. The record is from RNAcentral.
AUGUGUAUAUGUGCAAGUGCAGCCCUGAACCUAAGGCUAGUCAACAAAAACGCCGCAGGUGGCCCUGACCUCGCCGAGGCUGUCGAGGAGCACGUCGGUGCGGCCCAUCUUGACCAUGGCCGCCGCGAAGUCCCGGUAGUACUCGUCCGGCGACGACGCGUUGGCCAUCCUCUCGACGUAGCCCCUGGUGGCGGCGUCGUGGAGGAGGCUGCCGUCGGACUGGAAGAGGCCCCCCGUGGCCAGCACGUGGCGGUAGUAGCUGAGGUCGAAGGUGAAGCCGCUGCCGGGGUCCAUGGGCACCUUGGUCCUCCUGCCCCGGCCGCCGUGGCGGCGCGGGCAGAGCUUCCUCAGCUGCCUCGCGUACCCGGCGUCCAGCGACGGGUCCUGGUCCAUGGCGCCCGUGAAGUUGUAGAGCCGCUUCCGGAACGCCUCGCAGUGGGAGGUCCCGAUGCUGUGGCUCCCUGGAGGGGGAGGAAGGAUGCCAUUGUCAGUGCGGCGUGUGUUGGGCUGUUGCUGUCGUCCACGGACGCACGUACGCGUGAAGCGAUGGAGUCAUGGAGAGGAAAGGAGAGGUGCGUACCGAAGAGGACGACGAUGUCCUUGGCGGUGAGCGACUUGACGCUGAAGAAGGUCUUGACGUCGACGAUGUUGGAGUCCGGCGGCGCCAGGUCGUUCUCAGCGUACUCGGCCACCGUCACGUUGCCGUCCCGCCGCCCGGUCUCCACGCCGUACCACGGCCCCUUGCUCUGCAAAGUAAGCACGAGAGCCGGUGAAAAAGAUGCCCAAUUAAAUCAACUUGUCGUCGUGGUCUCUGCAGCUACUCACCAGGUAGACGGCGUCCCUGGCGGCUAUGGCGAUGAUGUCGGCGCAGGAGACGGUGAGCGGGCAGAGCGUCUCGAGCCUGGCCUUGAUCCGCUCGAUGGCGUCGUAGCCGCGCAUGCUCCGGUUAGGGGUGGCGUCCCGCUCCGCCGUGCCCCGGCGGGACCUGAGCAGGAUGGAGCCGUCGCAGCCCUGGACGAAGCAGUCGUGGUAGUGCAUCCGGAGCAGCGAGGGCGCCAGCGUGGGGUCCUCGUGCAGGAUGGCGUGCAUCUCCGCGAACACCACCCCCUCCGCGAUCGGGCACGUCGCAUUGUAGAACCCCACCUGCAGCUCCGCCUCCGCCCGCGGCGACGCAGCCGCCAGGACGCCCACCACCGCCGCCGCCACCGCCAGGGCCAGGGCGAGCGGCGGCCACCGCUCCCUGGACAUGAAGAAAGCGCGAGGCGGUCGACGAGCAGACCGGAGAACGAUCGAGGGUGGAAAUGGGGGCGGGCUUGGGCGGAGCGGCGGCACAGUGGAAUGGAUGGGCGAUGGUGGGAGCACGGGGCAAAGGUCAAAGAGUGUGGUUGCGCCGUGCUUUUCCGACUGUAG